RNAcentral lists this unclassified non-coding RNA (3913 nucleotides) under Leishmania donovani. RNAcentral's name for it is "gene:LdHU3.32.1660(CDS-product:PTHB1_N-inus/PTHB1 _C-inus_putative)". Lineage: Eukaryota; Euglenozoa; Kinetoplastea; Trypanosomatida; Trypanosomatidae. The record is from RNAcentral.
CGCAUGCGUGCACUCGUCAAAGCCGGCAGCCAUCAUCCAUCGGUGCACACACACACACACGAUCAAAACAAGAGUAUGGUAGGAAGAAGCCACGGUGACGAAGUGGUGGCCCUCAGUCUCUCUCUCUCUCUCUGUGCAUGUGUACGUCUAUGGCCCAGCCUAAAACACCCGCACGGGUACGAUAAGCAGCACACGCAGCAGCACCGCGAAAGACUGCAUUCUUUUAUUGCUGUUGUUGUUUCUGCUAUUUCACACCUCUGCUCGCCUGUUCUAGUGGGUCGCUGUGCGCUUGGUCGAGAAGAUGGGCUCACUGUUUCAGCUGCGCGACUUCUGGUCCACCUCUUUUCCGGGGGAGGAGUUCAGCCCCUCCGCCGUGGUCCUCGCCGACCCAGAUGUCAGCAAUCUCUUCGACAAGAUUGUGCUGGGAUCCUAUCAAGGCAUGCUGCGCAUUCUGAACCCGAGUGUCACCCAGGGUCCAAUGCUGCCCGGCGAUGUGCUGCUUGAAAAGAAGUACGAUGAGCCUAUCCUGCAGCUGGAUUGCGGCCCUUUCCGCCCCUUCAAGUCUGGCGUGCCGCCCAACAUUCUGGCGGUGCUCUUUCCGCGCACGCUCAUGUUCCUCGAGAUUGCUGCGCACGGCAGCGACAACGCGAAUGCGAUGAACGCGCCGAACCCGACGAGCAGCGGCACCGCCGGCAACGAGCUCGCUGCGGAGGUGACGUCAUCGUCCACCCCGGACGCGCAGCUGCGUCACCGCUAUGCGCACGGCAGCAGCUCGAAUGUGCCGGACACCUUCUCGUCGCUCAAGGAGCUCGGCGCCUUCUACACCCUAACGGUUCAGAGCGAGUCUCGCCUCCUGUCCACUGCCUACAACUUCGCGUGUGGCUGCUUCGGCAACAGCGACUACAAGAUGGUCUGUGUUCAGUCGAUGGAUGGCUCGCUGACGAUUCUGGACUACGGCGGCGUGCUAUAUCGCACCUUUUUGCCGCAGAAUCAAUUUCUUAUUCCCGGCCCGAUGCAAUACAGCAUGCACCGCGAUGCCUUGCUGACGUGCAACACCUCCAUGUUUCUGCUAAGCUACAGCUUCAGCUCUCUGGUCUUGAACAGUACCGCGGAAGAUGUGGCAGCAACGACGGCCGGCGCCGUGGCCGCGAGUCGCUUCUCCAGCCUUUGUCCACUGUGGACGUUCAAUCUGGGCGAGGACGCGGUCGACAUCGCGGUAUGCCGUCUUACGCGUGGCUUGACGCGUGAGGAGGCGGAUGUGGUGGUGCUUUGCACCUCGGCCCUGUACGUGCUGAGCGAGAGCGGCGAGCCGCGCAUGAUCCGUCGACUGGACGUGGAGGCGUCGGCCCUGUGCGUAUACCCGCUGCCUGGCAUCCAGUACGACAACCUACUCGUCGGGACCUUCAACGGUCUUGUGCAAGUUUACUCGGACACGGAGCUGCAGUGGAGCGCCGCUGUCUCCAGUGGCGCCGCGCCGCUGCAGCUCACGGUCGCCACGCUGUGCGGCGUUGAAGGCAUGAUUGUGAAUCUUGCCUCCGACAGCUCCCUUAGCAUCAACUACCUUGGCACCGACCCCGUUGAUCAGCUACCGGAGUCGCUGGAGACGAAGUCCAUCCCCUACACAGAGAUCGUGAACGACCUGAAGCAGUAUGAGCAGCUCAUUCAUGGGUGCUUGGGCGAUGCUGCGAGUGCUACCGAGGACGGCGACGAGGAUGACCCGCUCGCCAUCCCAGGCAAGCCGCUGUCGUUCAUGGGUGGAAAAAGCAAGAAGAAACGUGGUGCCGGCAAAGCGGAGGAGGGGGCAGCGUCGUCAGGCAUCCAGACGGCAGCAGCGCCGAGUCGCAGCACUGCCGCUGCCGCGGCUUCACUGUUCAUCACAAGCGCAUUUUCGAGCAUCAGAACGACUGACAACAGCGCCGAGCUCACCGUCACGCUGCAGACGCUCCAUAAUCACGUCGAGGCGGUCUCUCUCGUGCUGCAGGCCGUACCGCCACUGUUGGCGACGCCGUGUCAGUGCGUCAUCGAGCAGAUUACGCCAGAGAGCAGUGUCCAGCGCACCUUCACGGUCCACGCCAUUCAGGACAGGGACCUGAUCAUUCCCUCAUCGCUAGAUGUGGUGGUGGUAGCGGUGUACCGCGGUCAACGACGCGAGUACGAGACGGUGCAGCACGUGGCACUGGCGCCGUUCCCACUGGUGGCUCGCCCCGUCGCCCCCGCCAAGAACACGGCGUUUUCGCUGCAGCUCAAUACCGACCAGAGCCAGCCGCCGUCGCUCAUCGACGUGUUUGCGGACAUGGCUCCUCUCGGACAUGUGACGGGGAACGUCCUCUCGCUGCACUACCUGAACGGUGCGGAUGCAACGGUGCUCGUGUCCAAGAAUGCGGCGCGCUUUAAGCUGCAGGGAUCCACGAUGGAGGGGUUGUGGCUGCUUGCCGCGGAGCUCACGCGACGCCUACGACUCUGCUGCGGUGGCGCCGCGGCAUUGAAACUCGAGGUCGCAGAUGAUCUUCCAGUGCCUGACUUUCUCGCGGUGGUGGACACGCACUGGGCGAUUCGGCGCGAAAUGGUGGCCGCCUCGGCGGCGCUCGACGACGCUGCCGCGCUUUUCCGCGCCGUGGAGAAGCGGCUGCUGGCGCGCUUCCGCGACCGCAGCCCAGCUGACGCGACGGCGUUGGGCGUGCUCUUUCAAGAAGGCUACAAGCUGCUCCGGGAGAGGGCAGACGCAGUGACGCGAGCAAAGACGCGGAUGCGGCAGGCCUCGGCCAUGCUGAAUUGCUGCGCGCAGCUUUUCUGGUUCUGUCUGAAGAUCAAAUCUCCACUGCUUGCCCCUGAAGAUGCGGAGACCCUGUCGACGCUGUUCCGCUGCUCCGUCGCCGAUGACAACGACGGAGGCUGGGAGGAGGUGACGGAGGCGGUGCUGGCAAAGGUGCUGAACGUGAAGACAAAGAAGGUGGCUAGUAACAAUCUCGAGCUCUCCUCCAGUACCGCGAACUUGAAAAAGCACAUUGGAACGCUGAUAAGCAUGGUGCAGUCUGGCCAGAAGCUCGGCUCCGCAACAGAAGGGGCAGGGGCUUGAACGCACUCAGGGUAGGAAUGCAAUGACUACCGCCCUCCCCCUCCCCCCCCCCACGACGACAGUCCUCGCGGUGCCAUUUCGGACGCCUAGCAGUGUGGAAUCGAGUGCCCUAUAUCCAAUCCCACUCACCUUCCCUCUCUACCUCCUCCCGAAACCUCCUCGCCAGCAUCUGCGGCAGGACGCACGCUUUUGGGAUUCGGUAAUAGAGGAAUGAAAGACGGCGAUGGGUCCUUGUGCCUGAUGGGGGCGUCUGCAGUUGUCUUUGCGGAUGCCGACAUUUGUAUGUUUAUUUAUAUAUAUAUAUGUGUGUGUGUGUUCGGCUCUUGCUCGUUAUGGCCUUUUAUACGUUCUCUGCGCCGUUCAACCGGCGUUUUCACGCCCUCGGACCCUCCCAUCGGUGACGUGAUGUAUCUCUCUUCGGGCGUGCCUGUGCUGGAUCCGGAACGAGCGUGCACGGCGUCAUCCCCCUCGCUCUUUCGAUUAAGUCGAGAAAGUGAACGGCACAUCCGAAAUGAAGGAGGUGACGGCUCAGAGACAGAGAGUUCACCGCCGGCUCUGCAUCCGUGUUGCCUGUUACUGCUGCUUCGCGGCAGUAGCCCUUGACGGGUGUGGAUCGACGUCGGGCACCCUCUCUCUGCCCCUGCCGAAAAAAAAACGCACGCAAAUGCGCUGACAUCGAAGACAGGCAAGGGGCUCAUAAAGACGGUGCGCGGAAUCCGCUCUGCGGUCAUGUGCGGCCUCCUUUGCUGAACGAAGCUCCGCAGCUGUGCUGAAACGACGACGUGAAGUCGCUCUCCCCCCCCCCCCAUUCAAUUGCUACAAGGAGGACGUGCAUGC